Molecule: long non-coding RNA, 3046 nt
Filed under: Sus scrofa (pig)
Lineage: Eukaryota; Metazoa; Chordata; Mammalia; Artiodactyla; Suidae
Description: lncRNA (ENSSSCG00070014617.1)
Source: RNAcentral
AGCUCCGCCGGGAGGGCGGCCGCAUUCCUGGGCGCGCUGGGGCUGGAAUUGGUACAUUCCUUUCAUAACUCCCGCGUGGGGGCGGGGGCCUGAGCGGAGAGUUGGUGAUUAAAGGGAGGAAGAAUGAAGCUCUGCGGGGCUGGGUGCAGGCCCAGAGCUGGAGGCCAGGAACAUGUGAGCGGCGUCCCAGGAGCCCAGGGAUGCAGGCGGAAGCCAUCCCGCCCACGGGUGGUCUGAGCUCAGAAAUGGUGUUCCAAGAGCUAGGUUUUGCUGUCACCCUGAGAAAGAAAAUAUCGCCUGCCGUGUCAAUAAGCAAAGGAGGUUACAGCGAUCAGUGGUUCCAGCUGCGAGAGCCGGUGAGCCCCAAGGGAACCCAGGGAGGAAACAAAGAACACCUGCCAUCUAGCGGCCGUCGGACUGCAGCUGUUCUGGACGGUGAGCCCUGAGGUUGGGAAGCACAGGAUGCAGGUCCCAGAGAGCUGAACUGCAAAUCACAGGAAUGAUUUCAGUGAGCCCUGACAUGUGUUUUCCCAUAUACAGAAAAGCGCUGCAUUCCUUAACUCGAGAUACCUAUUUUUUUUUUUUUUUUUUUUGUCUUUUUAGCUAUUUCUUGGGCCGCUCCCGCGGCAUAUGGAGGUUCCCAGGCUAGGGGUCGAAUUGGAGCUGCAGCCACCGGCCUACGCCAGAGCCACAGCAACGCGGGAUCCGAGCCGCGUCUGCGACCUACACCACAGCUCACAGCAACGCCGGAUCGUUAACCCACUGAGCAAGGGCAGGGAUCGAACCCUCAACCUCAUGGUUCCUAGUCGGAUUUGUUAACCACUGCGCCACGACGGGAACUCCCGAGAUACCUAAUUUUCUUUUAUCGACAGUAAUCUUUUGUUCCGAUGCCCUGCCCUUUGUUGCAAAACUCCUGUAUCUCCUGGCACCCCCCCUGCCUCCUCUGAGCUGUCUCAGAGCUAUCUGAGAUGCUGUGUCCUGGACGUAAGUCCUCAAUUUUGUUCCCCGAGGAAAACAUAGCUCUCAGCCUUUUGGUUGUGCUUAUUUUUUAGUUGACAACCCCAUUCUGCAGAGAUGAAGGCGGUUGAGCAGUUUGCUCUCUGUGCCUGGUACCAUUAUUGUAGCAGCAACAGCCUUUGCAAAGCGCUGGCCCUUCCCAGGUGCUUCUGCUUGCCUGAUGCCCCCGUCUCCCAUAGCUGAGUCCCAGCCUCCUGAGGCCCCUAGGACUCUGCCCCUUCUCUGGGCCUUGUGUGUGCAGGCCCACUUGCUUAUGGUGGGGCUCCCUUCCCUAGCUGAGCCACACUUUCCCCUGAGUGUGGGCCUGAGUCCCACCUGUGUUAGGCCAAUGGGCAGGGGGUCCAGUUCCUGGGACGCUCUGACCCAUAGGUUAAGUCAUGGCCCCACUUGAGUGAGAACAGGGCAGAAGCCACUGAAUCUGAUCUGGCUCCAGGUGGAUACUGAGGCAGGGGGUGAGGGGGUUGCCUCUGGUGAGGGGACGUCCAGCAUGGCUGGGACACCUGUGGCCGUGCUGAAGAAGACAACUAGUUCAGGCUCUGGUGGCCCUGGCUGGGCUGGCCGCGAGGAUGCAGGCUCUGCUGUGUGUCUGAAGACAGCCCUGGGUGGGGGAUGGGGGUGCUGGCAGAGCAGUGAUGCAAGACGUAUGUGGGGGGCACUGGGUGGGCUGUGAAAUCUCCCCACGGGCAGAGGGUGAGUUGCAGAGGAAAGAGUGGCAGCUCACCCCAUGCCCCAUUGCAGGUCCUGUCUGCUCAGCCAUCAUUCUCUUCCAACCCCUGGUCAGCCUUUCUUCUAGACCUGCGAGCUCACUGUGUGACCUUGCACAGCCACUUGACUCCUUUCUGUGUCGGUGAGCCCUAGUGGUCCUGGUGUUUUUGUCACAGAGAGUCACUCAGCAAACGUGCUGGCUCCUCUGGUCCUGCCAUCAUCAUCUCCUUCCUCCUGUCCAUUUGCUUAUCACCAUGAGCAUCCGCACCCAUCGGCUGUCCGAGGGCAGAAGCUAAGUCACUACCCUUUGUGCUCACAAAAGCCCUCCACAGUUUAGCAGCAGUGGUUCUAGGGGUUGGUCCAGGGAACCUGACCCCCACGACCCUUAGAGGGGGUCUUUGAGGUGACAGCUGUGCUCAUGACAAUGCUGGGAGGGGGUUUCCUCUCUCGUCCUCUCCUGAGGGUACGGCAGCAUUUUCAGGAUGAGCCAUCAGGUACUGUCCCAGCUCCCACAGCCAGUGAAACCCGGGCUGUGUAUCUUUGUCUUCAAAGUCUCUCAGUUCUAACUGAAGUUAAUUCAUUGAAAAAGGGAUCAUGAGACCAAAAUGUUUGAGAAUUUCAACUGGGUUCAAAUCCAGGUUCUGUCCCCGAAGGUCUACAAAGCCUGGAGCAAACACCUGACUGUGGACCUGAAGCUCCUUUUCUUGAAGAGGGCAAACUGGCACUGUCUUUCUGGUGCCCACGUGGGCAUGUAAAGAAAGCCCUGGACCCUGUGUCCUCUGGGGGUGCGGAUGGUGCCCUCUGAGGCCUGGUGCCCAUGGGUUCAGGGGACUCUUAGCAGCUACUCAGAGCCCAGCAAACCAGAAGCGCGAGCUCCUGCCCCAGAGCGUUCAUCCCGCCUGGCACCUUCCCCAGGCGGGCACACAGCCAGCAUGCUUUCCUGCAUGGCCGAGGUAUGAGAAAAGUAACACAUUGGUUGUUGAUCUUGCUGGAAAAGGCCUGGUUUUAGAAAGCAGUGUGUUUUGAACUUGUUGGGAAGUACAUUCUGUAAUUCACCAAAAUACCAACUGACGUAAAAGCAGCUCCUUCACGGAAAAAAUAUUUCACUUGGAGAUGGACCCCUGGACACCGAUGGAGGGUAAAGUGCCUCCUUCUCCAGCCAGAGCCGACCGCCCGGAGCCGAGCCCGCCUGAGUCAGCCUUCAUGGCCUGGGGCCUGGCUGCCGCCCCCAGGGGCAGCCACAGGGGAAGCUAUUCCAGCUGAAAAGAGAAUUCAGCUUGGUGGCCAGUUACAAAAUAAAUAUACAAAACCUGCGGCUUGCCCA